GAAAACAUAGAGAGUCAUAUCAAGAAAUCGGAAAGUAAGAUUAGAGACCUCGAAGAAAACAUAGCAAAUUAUCGUGAAGAAACAUUGAAGAAGAUAAGUCAUCUUGAAGCACUACAUUUGACAGAAACGUUUUGUAUUGA
Molecule: long non-coding RNA, 140 nt
Organism: Saccostrea cuccullata (small rock oyster)
Lineage: Eukaryota; Metazoa; Mollusca; Bivalvia; Ostreida; Ostreidae
Exons: 3
Source: RefSeq, a predicted model, not a curated record